GACGAACGCUGGCGGCGUGCUUAACACAUGCAAGUCGAACGGAAAGGCCCUGCUUUUGUGGGGUGCUCGAGUGGCGAACGGGUGGGUAACACGUGAGUAACCUGCCCUUGACUUUGGGAUAACUUCAGGAAACUGGGGCUAAUACCGGAUAGGAGUUCCUGCUGCAUGGUGGGGGUUGGAAAGUUUCGGCGGUUGGGGAUGGACUCGCGGCUUAUCAGCUUGUUGGUGGGGUAGUGGCUUACCAAGGCUUUGCCGGGUAGCCGGCCUGAGAGGGUGACCGGCCACAUUGGGACUGAGAUACGGCCCAGACUCCUACGGGAGGCAGCAGUGGGGAAUAUUGCACAAUGGGCGGAAGCCUGAUGCAGCAACGCCGCGUGCGGGAUGACGGCCUUCGGGUUGUAAACCGCUUUCGCCUGUGACGAAGCGUGAGUGACGGUAAUGGGUAAAGAAGCACCGGCUAACUACGUG
Molecule: ribosomal RNA, 468 nt
Filed under: uncultured bacterium
Lineage: Bacteria
Description: partial 16S ribosomal RNA
Rfam family: Bacterial small subunit ribosomal RNA
Source: RNAcentral